RNAcentral lists this ribosomal RNA (1144 nucleotides) under uncultured bacterium. RNAcentral describes it as "bacterial SSU rRNA". It matches the Rfam family "Bacterial small subunit ribosomal RNA", at positions 232 to 1361 of the family's 1533-position model. The record is from RNAcentral.
UACGUCCUAUUAGCUUGUUGGUGAGGUAAUGGCUCACCAAGGCGAUAAUGGGUAGCUGGUCUGAGAGGAUGAUCAGCCACAUUGGGACUGAGAUACGGCCCAGACUCCUACGGGAGGCAGCAGUGGGGAAUCUUGGCCAAUGGACGAAAGUCUGAGCCAGCGACACCGCGUGGGGGAUGAAGGCUUUCGGGUCGUAAACCCCUUUUCUGGGGGAAGAAUAAGGUCGAGAGGAAAUGCUCGUCCGAUGACGGUACCCCAGGAACAAGCAUCGGCUAACUCCGUGCCAGCAGCCGCGGUAAGACGGAGGAUGCGAGCGUUAUCCGGAAUUACUGGGCGUAAAGGGCGUCUAGGCGGUCAGGUAAGUCACCUGUGAAAGCCCUCGGCUCAACCGAGGAACGUCGGGUGAUACUGCUUGGCUUGGGUGUAGGAGAGGAGAGUGGAACUCACAGAGUAGCGGUGGAAUGCGUAGAUACUGUGAGGUACCCCGAUGGCGAANGCAACUCUCUGGCCUACUACCGACGCUGAAGCGCGAAAGCGUGGGGAGCAAAGGGGAUUAGAUACCCCCGUAGUCCACGCCCCAAACGAUGUUCACUUGGUGUCGGCCGCUCAUACUGGUCGGUGCCGGAGCUAACGCGUUAAGUGAACCGCCUGAGGAGUACGGCCGCAAGGCUAAAACUCAAGAGAAUUGACGGGUCCCCGCACAAGCGGUGGAGCACGUGGUUUAAUUCGAUGAUAAGCGAAGAACCUCACCUGGGCUUGACAUACUAGUGGUAGGAACCUGAAAGGGGGACGACCCUGCUUCGGUAGGGAGCUAGUACAGGUGAUGCAUGGCUGUCGUCAGCUCGUGUCGUGGGAUGUAGGGUUAAGUCCCGAAACGAGCGCAACCCUUGUCGCUAGUUGCCAGCGGGUAAUGCCGGGGACUCUAGCGAGACUGCUGGUGAAUAGCCGGAGGAAGGCGGGGAUGACGUCAAGUCAUCAUGUCCCUUAUGCCCAGGGCGACACACAUGCUACAAUGGGAGGUACAAAGAGCUGCAAUGCCGUAAGGUGGAGCCAAUCCCAAAAAACCUCCCUCAGUUCGGAUUGAGGUCUGCAACUCGACCUCAUGAAGCCGGAAUCGCUAGUAAUCGCGGGUCAGCAUACCGCG